This 484-nucleotide ribosomal RNA is filed under the name uncultured bacterium. RNAcentral describes it as "partial 16S ribosomal RNA". It matches the Rfam family "Bacterial small subunit ribosomal RNA", at positions 29 to 507 of the family's 1533-position model. The record is from RNAcentral.
AUUGAACGCUGGCGGCAUGCCUUACACAUGCAAGUCGAACGGCAGCGCGGGAGUAGUCCUGGCGGCGAGUGGCGAACGGGUGAGUAAUACAUCGGAACGUGCCCAGUAGUGGGGGAUAGCGCAGCGAAAGCCGUACUAAUACCGCAUACGACCUACGGAUGAAAGCAGGGGACCGCAAGACCUUGCGCGAUUGGAGCGGCCGAUGGCGGAUUAGCUAGUUGGUGGGGUAAAGGCUCACCAAGCCGACGAUCCGUAGCUGGUCUGAGAGGACGACCAGCCACACUGGGACUGAGACACGGCCCAGACUCCUACGGGAGGCAGCAGUGGGGAAUUUUGGACAAUGGGCGCAAGCCUGAUCCAGCCAUGCCGCGUGCGGGAAGAAGGCCUUCGGGUUGUAAACCGCUUUUGUUCGGAAAGAAACGCUCUUGGCUAAUACCCCGGGGUAAUGACGGUACCGUAAGAAUAAGCACCGGCUAACUACGUG